This 663-nucleotide ribosomal RNA is filed under the name Escherichia coli. RNAcentral's name for it is "partial 23S ribosomal RNA". It matches the Rfam family "Bacterial large subunit ribosomal RNA", at positions 606 to 1268 of the family's 2925-position model. Lineage: Bacteria; Pseudomonadati; Pseudomonadota; Gammaproteobacteria; Enterobacterales; Enterobacteriaceae. The record is from RNAcentral.
UUUUGUAUAAUGGGUCAGCGACUUAUAUUCUGUAGCAAGGUUAACCGAAUAGGGGAGCCGAAGGGAAACCGAGUCUUAACUGGGCGUUAAGUUGCAGGGUAUAGACCCGAAACCCGGUGAUCUAGCCAUGGGCAGGUUGAAGGUUGGGUAACACUAACUGGAGGACCGAACCGACUAAUGUUGAAAAAUUAGCGGAUGACUUGUGGCUGGGGGUGAAAGGCCAAUCAAACCGGGAGAUAGCUGGUUCUCCCCGAAAGCUAUUUAGGUAGCGCCUCGUGAAUUCAUCUCCGGGGGUAGAGCACUGUUUCGGCAAGGGGGUCAUCCCGACUUACCAACCCGAUGCAAACUGCGAAUACCGGAGAAUGUUAUCACGGGAGACACACGGCGGGUGCUAACGUCCGUCGUGAAGAGGGAAACAACCCAGACCGCCAGCUAAGGUCCCAAAGUCAUGGUUAAGUGGGAAACGAUGUGGGAAGGCCCAGACAGCCAGGAUGUUGGCUUAGAAGCAGCCAUCAUUUAAAGAAAGCGUAAUAGCUCACUGGUCGAGUCGGCCUGCGCGGAAGAUGUAACGGGGCUAAACCAUGCACCGAAGCUGCGGCAGCGACGCUUAUGCGUUGUUGGGUAGGGGAGCGUUCUGUAAGCCUGCGAAGGUGUGCUGUGAGG